This 343-nucleotide unclassified non-coding RNA is filed under the name soil metagenome. RNAcentral describes it as "partial contains 5.8S ribosomal RNA, internal transcribed spacer 2, and large subunit ribosomal RNA". The stretch from base 1 to 120 matches the Rfam family "5.8S ribosomal RNA", at positions 35 to 154 of the family's 154-position model. The record is from RNAcentral.
GAUGAAGAACGCAGCGAAAUGCGAUAAGUAAUGUGAAUUGCAGAAUUCAGUGAAUCAUCGAAUCUUUGAACGCACAUUGCGCCCGCUAGUAUUCUGGCGGGCAUGCUUGUCCGAGCGUCAUUUCAACCCUCAAGCCCCCGGGCUUGGUGUUGGGGAUCGGCGAGCCUCCGCGCCCGCCGUCCCCUAAAUCUAGUGGCGGUCUCGCUGUAGCUUCCUCUGCGUAGUAGCACACCUCGCACUGGGAAACAGCGCGGCCACGCCGUUAAACCCCCAACUUCUGAACGUUUGACCUCGGAUCAGGUAGGAAUACCCGCUGAACUUAAGCAUAUCAAUAAGCGGAGGA